AAACACAACAUUUUUGUGAAAAGGAGUGAAAACUUCAGCUAAAGUGUAUCAUAUUCAGUCUUGGAUCAUGUUAUGAAAGCUCUUAAGCUCUUCUUACUUUACUAAAAAUAUACCGUGGACUUUUCAGCAGUAUUCUGCAGCUGAUCACAAGUCACGAACUACCCAAGCCUGGCAUGAAACCAACGUUCCGGACUUUAUAAGAGCUAAAGACUGGCCCUCAUCUAGCAUAGGCCUCAACCCCUUAGACGUCAAAUUAUGCAACCCUCCAUGCUUACUGAGCUGGUCUUUCAAGGCCUCAUACGUGAUAGCUCCUCUGCCUUCAAGGUCAGCAUCGCAAAACAUGGCCUCCGUCAGCUCACAGAGUUGUUCCUCGCUGAAGUGCAUCCCGUUUUCAUGCAUACAAGCUCUCAUCACUUCUUGCAGCUCAUUUUGUUGGAUAAGACCGUCGCCUGAUAUUAAACAUUCAUUUAUA
Molecule: long non-coding RNA, 472 nt
Organism: Pieris brassicae (large cabbage white)
Lineage: Eukaryota; Metazoa; Arthropoda; Insecta; Lepidoptera; Pieridae
Exons: 2
Source: RefSeq, a predicted model, not a curated record